GUGCCAGCCGCCGCGGUAAUACGUAGGGGGCGAGCGUUGUCCGGAAUUAUUGGGCGUAAAGCGCGCGCAGGCGGUUUCUUAAGUCUGGUGUUUAAGUGCGGGGCUCAACCCCGUGACGCACUGGAAACUGGGAGACUUGAGUGCAGGAGAGGAGAGCGGAAUUCCACGUGUAGCGGUGAAAUGCGUAGAGAUGUGGAGGAACACCAGUGGCGAAGCGGCUCUCUGGACUGUAACUGACGCUGAGGCGCGAAAGCGUGGGGAGCAAACAGGAUUAGAAACCCUUGUAGUCC
This 290-nucleotide ribosomal RNA is filed under the name uncultured bacterium. RNAcentral's name for it is "partial 16S ribosomal RNA". It matches the Rfam family "Bacterial small subunit ribosomal RNA", at positions 505 to 796 of the family's 1533-position model. The record is from RNAcentral.